AAGGGCACCACAAGAACGCGUGGAGCAUGUGGCUUAAUUUGACUCAACGCGGGAAAUCUUACCGGGUCCGGACACACUGAGGAUUGACAGGCAAUAUUAAUACGUGUUUUAACCUUCACGUAUUAUGUUAAAUAUGCUAGUCCUUUCAUGAUUAUGUGAUAGGUGGUGCAUGGCCGUUCUUAGUUCGUGGAGUGAUCUGUCUGCUUAAUUGCGUUUCACUAAGGGCCUAUAAUUUUACGUGUGUUGCGGCACUUUGACCCCUUUCUUUUAUUAGAGAGCGCGCGUCUUAGUUUGCUUUGCUCACACAAUUAGGUCCUGAAAGCAACGAACGUGACCGCAACCUCUUGUUGCCUUUAUACCAAACAUGUUUGUUAUUUUUAUAAUAUUCAUGAAAAAAGGCUUUUAAACUAGAGGGACCGCUGUUACUUUCUUAAACCAGAGGAAGGUUGCGGCAAUAACAGGUCUGUGAUGCCCUUAGAUGUUCCGGGCUGCACACGUGCUACAAUGAUUAUUGCAGUGAGCAUCUCAUUUUUACACACCGCAUGCGCGAGUCCAUUUAUUCACUUCGGUGCUUUAAAUGUGUAUCUCUGCGCGCGGUAAAGCCUGCUUCGAAAGUAAGUGGGUAAUCAAUUAGAAGUAAUGAUUUCCUUUUUAGCACACAUAUAUACGGCGUCUAUACCCGGGUUACCUUGUUGUAGCUUUUGUGCGUAUAGAUGUUUUUUCCGUAUGUGCGAUUGUCAAUUCAUGGUGGGGACAGACCAUUGUUAAUUGUUGGUCUCGGUCUUAACUAGGAAUGCCUUGUACGGGUCUUUGGUUCAACAAACCACCCGGAAUACGUCCCUGCCCUUUGUACACACCGCCCGUCGCUCUUACCGAUGGACUUCUCUGUGAGUUUGAGGGACUGGGAACGCAUAAAUUUAUUUUUAUGCACACCUAUGGAAACUUAAACGAACAGUGUGGUCUAAAGGAAAGAGAAGUCGUAACAAGGCAUCA
This 993-nucleotide ribosomal RNA is filed under the name Melonis barleeanus. Its description in RNAcentral is "SSU rRNA". It matches the Rfam family "Eukaryotic small subunit ribosomal RNA", at positions 1160 to 1804 of the family's 1831-position model. Lineage: Eukaryota; Foraminifera; Rotaliida; Nonionidae. The record is from RNAcentral.